Fukomys damarensis (Damara mole-rat) is the source of this 107-nucleotide small nuclear RNA. The record is from Ensembl. Lineage: Eukaryota; Metazoa; Chordata; Mammalia; Rodentia; Bathyergidae.
GUGCUUCCUGUGGCAUUACCUAUACUAACACUGAAACACUUCAGAAAAGACCAGCACAGCUUCUGUCCAAGGAAGACAUGUAAACUAGUGGCAGGUCAGUAUUUUUG